UGGCUAUCUGGUCGAUCCCCAAACCUCGGAAACCGUGAUGAGCGUGUUGACCGCGGGCGCCUCGAUCCGCUCCAUCGCCAAUGUGGUGAACGUGGAGGCGACCUCCUUCGACGUGUUGAUCGAUCACGGCGAGCUGGGCUCCGGCUGGGCGACCGAGACGGGGUCGACCAUCGAGACGGACACGCCGCAAAUCGAGCGUAUCACCAUUCCUCUGCAUGAGCUUUCGGCUAUGCCAAAGGCCAGCCAGCGCCUUUUGGAUGAUAGCGCCUUUGACAUCGAUGGCUGGCUGGCUGGCCGGAUUGCCGACAAGUUUGCCCGGGCCGAGGCUGCGGCCUUCAUCAACGGCGACGGAAUCGACAAGCCGAAGGGCUUCCUGACCCAUCCGGCAACCGACAACGAGAUCUGGACCUGGGGUGAGCUUGGCUAUGUCGCCACCGGUGUGGAUGGGGAUUUCGGCAGUGCGGAUGCUCUGAUCGAUCUGGUCUACUCGCUGGGUGCCGAGUACCGCGCGGGGGCGAGCUUCGUGAUGAACUCCAAGACCGCCGGAACGGUGCGCAAGCUGAAGGACGUGGAUGGUCGCUUCCUGUGGUCCGAUGGCCUUGCCGCCGGCGAGCCGGCGCGCCUGCUCGGUUAUCCGGUGCUGGUGGCCGAGGACAUGCCGGACAUCGCUUCGGACAGUUACUCCAUCGCCUUCGGUGACUUCUCCAACGGCUACACGGUGGCCGAGCGACCGGACCUUCGGGUUCUGCGUGAUCCGUUCUCGGCAAAACCGCACGUGCUGUUCUA
Molecule: ribosomal RNA, 786 nt
Filed under: uncultured Rhodobacterales bacterium
Lineage: Bacteria; Pseudomonadati; Pseudomonadota; Alphaproteobacteria; Rhodobacterales
Description: partial 16S ribosomal RNA
Source: RNAcentral